This 504-nucleotide ribosomal RNA is filed under the name uncultured Glomus. RNAcentral describes it as "SSU rRNA". It matches the Rfam family "Eukaryotic small subunit ribosomal RNA", at positions 569 to 1077 of the family's 1831-position model. The record is from RNAcentral. Lineage: Eukaryota; Fungi; Glomeromycota; Glomeromycetes; Glomerales; Glomeraceae.
AGCAGCCGCGGUAAUUCCAGCUCCAAUAGCGUAUAUUAAAGUUGUUGCAGUUAAAAAGCUCGUAGUUGAAUUUCGAGAUCAAUACGUCGGUCGUGCCUUCGGUACGUACUGGCGUUAUUGAUUUCUCCUUUCUGACGAACCAUGAUGUCAUUAAUUUGGUGUUAUGGGGAGUUAGGACUGUUACUUUGAAAAAAUUAGAGUGUUUAAAGCAGGCAUACGCUUGAAUACAUUAGCAUGGAAUAAUGAAAUAGGACGUUCGAUCCUAUUUUGUUGGUUUCUAGGAUCGACGUAAUGAUUAAUAGGGAUAGUUGGGGGCAUUAGUAUUCAAUUGUCAGAGGUGAAAUUCUUGGAUUUAUUGAAGACUAACUACUGCGAAAGCAUUUGCCAAGGAUGUUUUCAUUAAUCAAGAACGAAAGUUAGGGGAUCGAAGACGAUCAGAUACCGUCGUAGUCUUAACCAUAAACUAUGCCGACUAGGGAUCGGAUGAUGUUAAUUUUAUAAUGA